RNAcentral lists this ribosomal RNA (742 nucleotides) under uncultured bacterium. RNAcentral's name for it is "bacterial SSU rRNA". It matches the Rfam family "Bacterial small subunit ribosomal RNA", at positions 94 to 823 of the family's 1533-position model. The record is from RNAcentral.
AGCGGCGGACGGGUGAGUAACACGUGGGUAACCUGCCCAAGAGACUGGGAUAACACCUGGAAACAGAUGCUAAUACCGGAUAACAACACUAGACGCAUGUCUAGAGUUUGAAAGAUGGUUCUGCUAUCACUCUUGGAUGGACCUGCGGUGCAUUAGCUAGUUGGUAAGGUAACGGCUUACCAAGGCAAUGAUGCAUAGCCGAGUUGAGAGACUGAUCGGCCACAUUGGGACUGAGACACGGCCCAAACUCCUACGGGAGGCAGCAGUAGGGAAUCUUCCACAAUGGACGAAAGUCUGAUGGAGCAACGCCGCGUGAGUGAAGAAGGGUUUCGGCUCGUAAAGCUCUGUUGGUAGUGAAGAAAGAUAGAGGUAGUAACUGGCCUUUAUUUGACGGUAAUUACUUAGAAAGUCACGGCUAACUACGUGCCAGCAGCCGCGGUAAUACGUAGGUGGCAAGCGUUGUCCGGAUUUAUUGGGCGUUAAGCGAGUGCAGGCGGUUCAAUAAGUCUGAUGCGAAAGCCUUCGGCUCAACCGGAGAAUUGCAUCAGAAACUGUUGAACUUGAGUGCAGAAGAGGAGAGUGGAACUCCAUGUGUAGCGGUGGAAUGCGUAGAUAUAUGGAAGAACACCAGUGGCGAAGGCGGCUCUCUGGUCUGCAACUGACGCUGAGGCUCGAAAGCAUGGGUAGCGAACAGGAUUAGAUACCCUGGUAGUCCAUGCCGUAAACGAUGAGUGCUAAGUGU